This 253-nucleotide ribosomal RNA is filed under the name uncultured bacterium. Its description in RNAcentral is "partial 16S ribosomal RNA". It matches the Rfam family "Bacterial small subunit ribosomal RNA", at positions 524 to 776 of the family's 1533-position model. The record is from RNAcentral.
UACGUAGGGGGCAAGCGUUGUCCGGAAUCAUUGGGCGUAAAGAGCGUGUAGGCGGCCCGAUAAGUCCGCUGUGAAAGUCCAGGGCUCAACCCUGGAAUGCCGGUGGAUACUGUCGGGCUCGAGUUCGGAAGAGGUGAGUGGAAUUCCUGGUGUAGCGGUGAAAUGCGUAGAUAUCUGGAGGAACACCGGUGGCGAAGGCGGCAUCCUGGACCGGUAUUGACGCUGAGGCGCGAAAGCUAGGGGAGCAAACGGG